UCCGGUUUGUCACCGGCAGUCUCACUAGAGUGCCCCUUGCGGUGGCAACUAGUGACAAGGGUUGCGCUCGUUGCGGGACUUAACCCAACAUCUCACGACACGAGCUGACGACAGCCAUGCAGCACCUGUGUCCAGGCUCCCUUUCGGGCACACCCGCCUCUCAGCGGGCUUCCUGGCAUGUCGAGGGUAGGUAAGGUUCUUCGCGUUGCAUCGAAUUAAUCCACAUCAUCCACCGCUUGUGCGGGUCCCCGUCAAUUCCUUUGAGUUUUAAUCUUGCGACCGUACUCCCCAGGCGGAAUGCUUAAUGCGUUAGCUGCGACACUGACGAGCAUGCUCGCCAACGUCUAGCAUUCAUCGUUUACGGCGUGGACUGC
RNAcentral lists this unclassified non-coding RNA (374 nucleotides) under uncultured Pseudomonadota bacterium. Its description in RNAcentral is "uncultured proteobacterium contains 16S-23S intergenic spacer region". The record is from RNAcentral. Lineage: Bacteria; Pseudomonadati; Pseudomonadota.